RNAcentral lists this ribosomal RNA (497 nucleotides) under uncultured bacterium. RNAcentral's name for it is "partial 16S ribosomal RNA". It matches the Rfam family "Bacterial small subunit ribosomal RNA", at positions 28 to 507 of the family's 1533-position model. The record is from RNAcentral.
GAUGAACGCUGGCGGCGUGCCUAAUACAUGCAAGUCGAGCGAAAAGACGACGUCCUUUCUCCUCUGAUGUUAGCCGCGGACGGGAGACUAACACGUGGAUAACCUACCUAUAAGAAUGGGAUAACUACGGGAACCCGGAGCUCAUACCGGAUAAUAUAUUGAACCGCAUGGUUCAAUAGUGAAAGCCGGUUUUGCUGCCAAUUAUAGAUGGAUUGGGGCCAGAUUAGCAAGUUGGUAAGGUAACGGCUUACCAACGCAACGAUGGGUAGCCGAUCUGAGAGGGUGAUCAGCCACACUGGGACUGAGACACGGUCCAGACUCCUACGGGAGGCAGCAGUAGGGAAUCUUCGACAAUGGGCGAAAGCCUGACCGAGCCACGCCGCGUGAAUGAUGAAGGUCUUCGGGUCGUAAAACGCUGUUGUAAGGAAAGAACAAAUGUGUAAGUAACUAGGCGCGUCAUGACGGUACCUAAUCAGAAAGCCACGGCUAACUACGUG